GUCCUUUUGAAUAUAAUAUAAGGUCGGGCCUGCUCAAUGAUAAUAUUAAAUAGCUGCAGUAUUUUGACUGUACUAAGGUAGCAUAAUCAUUAGUUUCUUAAUUAGGAGCUGGAAUGAAGGGUUUGAUGAAAAAACAACUGUGUCUUUUAUAAGUAUAGAAUUUUAUUUUUAAGUAAAAAAGCUUAAAUGAAAUUAAAAGACGAGAAGACCCUAUAGAGUUUAAUAAUUAAUAGAUUUCUGGAAUUGAAGUUGUAAAUUUACUUUAAUUGAAAUAAUUAUUUGGUUGGGGUGACUAAAAAAUUAGAUAAACUUUUGUUUAUAAAACUUUAAUUUAAGGUUUGUUUGAUCCGUCUUUAGCGAUUAUAAGAAUAAAUUACCUUAGGGAUAACAGCGUAAUCUUUUUUUAGAGUUCAAAUCGAUAAAAAGGAUUGCGA
This 434-nucleotide ribosomal RNA is filed under the name Cryptocephalus cantabricus. Its description in RNAcentral is "partial 16S large subunit ribosomal RNA". The record is from RNAcentral. Lineage: Eukaryota; Metazoa; Arthropoda; Insecta; Coleoptera; Chrysomelidae.